GCCUGGCUAGCUCAGUUGGUAGAGCAUGCGAUUCUUAAUCUCAGGGUCAUGGGUUCGAGCCCUAUGUUGGGUG
Non-coding RNA from Leucoraja erinaceus (little skate), 73 nucleotides. NCBI's taxonomy places the organism in Eukaryota, Metazoa, Chordata, Chondrichthyes, Rajiformes, Rajidae. The record is from the annotation of a RefSeq genome assembly.